RNAcentral lists this ribosomal RNA (512 nucleotides) under Pichia kudriavzevii. RNAcentral's name for it is "eukaryotic LSU rRNA". The stretch from base 136 to 288 matches the Rfam family "5.8S ribosomal RNA". The record is from RNAcentral. Lineage: Eukaryota; Fungi; Ascomycota; Pichiomycetes; Pichiales; Pichiaceae.
CCUUCCGUAGGGGGAACCUGCGGAAGGAUCAUUACUGUGAUUUAGUACUACACUGCGUGAGCGGAACGAAAACAACAACACCUAAAAUGUGGAAUAUAGCAUAGUCGACAAGAGAAAUCUACGAAAAACAAACAAAACUUUCAACAACGGAUCUCUUGGUUCUCGCAUCGAUGAAGAGCGCAGCGAAAUGCGAUACCUAGUGUGAAUUGCAGCCAUCGUGAAUCAUCGAGUUCUUGAACGCACAUUGCGCCCCUCGGCAUUCCGGGGGGCAUGCCUGUUUGAGCGUCGUUUCCAUCUUGCGCGUGCGCAGAGUUGGGGGAGCGGAGCGGACGACGUGUAAAGAGCGUCGGAGCUGCGACUCGCCUGAAAGGGAGCGAAGCUGGCCGAGCGAACUAGACUUUUUUUCAGGGACGCUUGGCGGCCGAGAGCGAGUGUUGCGAGACAACAAAAAGCUCGACCUCAAAUCAGGUAGGAAUACCCGCUGAACUUAAGCAUAUCAAUAAGCGGAGGAA